CCUUAUAGACAGGGACAACAUUGGAAACGAUAGCUAAUACCUGAUAAGAAAGAAAACUACGCAUGAGAGAAGUUCGAAAGUCGGAGCAAUCUGACACUAUAAGAUGGCUUUGCGGUGCAUUAGCUAGUUGGUAGGGUAAAAGCCUACCAAGGCGACGAUGCAUAGCCGACCUGAGAGGGCGGACGGCCACAUUGGGACUGAGAUACGGCCCAGACUCCUACGGGAGGCAGCAGAA
RNAcentral lists this ribosomal RNA (235 nucleotides) under uncultured Gemella sp. Its description in RNAcentral is "partial 16S ribosomal RNA". It matches the Rfam family "Bacterial small subunit ribosomal RNA", at positions 129 to 354 of the family's 1533-position model. The record is from RNAcentral. Lineage: Bacteria; Bacillati; Bacillota; Bacilli; Caryophanales; Gemellaceae.